UUUCAUACUAGGUACAGUUACUAGAUAAAGAAUAAAAUUAAGAGGAAUAAAUAGGCUUUACUAACCAAAAGAUGUCUUUUUUCCUUUACAUGAAAAGAUUUUCAUUUUUAAAUGAGAAUGUAAUUUGUUUUAAACACUAAACUUGGAAGAUGUAGCUCAGUAAACUUGAAAUUAUUAAUGUAAAUGAUGUGUAUUAGUUUCUCCAUCUUGUACAUGAAACAGAUUUGUCCUUUUUCUUAAGUUCUUAUACUUUACAGUUGUGAUGGUACCUUUAAAAAACAAAACUACUUAUUUUGUCUUUAAAAAUGCUUAAAUCCUGGGCUGGGAAUAUGGCCUAGUGGUAAAGUGCUCACCU
Molecule: long non-coding RNA, 355 nt
Organism: Perognathus longimembris pacificus (Pacific pocket mouse)
Lineage: Eukaryota; Metazoa; Chordata; Mammalia; Rodentia; Heteromyidae
Exons: 3
Source: RefSeq, a predicted model, not a curated record